CCUACGGGAGGCAGCAGUGAGGAAUAUUGGUCAAUGGACGAGAGUCUGAACCAGCCAAGUAGCGUGAAGGAUGACUGCCCUAUGGGUUGUAAACUUCUUUUAUAUGGGAAUAAAAUGUUCCACGUGUGGGAUUUUGUAUGUACCAUAUGAAUACGGAUCGGCUAACUCCGUGCCAGCAGCCGCGGUAAUACGGAGGAUCCGAGCGUUAUCCGGAUUUAUUGGGGUUAAAGGGAGCGUAGGUGGAUUGUUAAGUCAGUUGUGAAAGUUUGCGGCUCAACCGUAAAAUUGCAGUUGAAACUGGCAGUCUUGAGUACAGUAGAGGUGGGCGGAAUUCGUGGUGUAGCGGUGAAAUGCUUAGAUAUCACGAAGAACUCCGAUUGCGAAGGCAGCUCACUGGACUGCAACUGACACUGAGGCGCGAAAGUGUGGGUAGCAAACAGGAUUAGAUACCCGUGUAGUC
This 460-nucleotide ribosomal RNA is filed under the name uncultured bacterium. Its description in RNAcentral is "partial 16S ribosomal RNA". It matches the Rfam family "Bacterial small subunit ribosomal RNA", at positions 338 to 795 of the family's 1533-position model. The record is from RNAcentral.